GUGCUUAAUUACUCAAUUAACUCAACAUCUAUUUUUCAUAAAUAUGCUCUAAUUUCAUAUUUUUCUAAAAUUAUCUAUUUUUGCAAAAAAAUUUAAUUUAUUUAUGAAAUUAAAUUUUUUAAAAGAUGUUAGUACCAUAAAUUACCAAAAAUACCUACAAUAAAUGUAAAAAUAUGCCACUUAUCACACCCCCGACUUGAACUUUGCUCAUCCUC
Molecule: long non-coding RNA, 215 nt
Filed under: Elaeis guineensis (African oil palm)
Lineage: Eukaryota; Viridiplantae; Streptophyta; Magnoliopsida; Arecales; Arecaceae
Description: long non-coding RNA (EGUI_LNC065843)
Source: RNAcentral